This 851-nucleotide ribosomal RNA is filed under the name uncultured bacterium. Its description in RNAcentral is "bacterial SSU rRNA". It matches the Rfam family "Bacterial small subunit ribosomal RNA", at positions 28 to 882 of the family's 1533-position model. The record is from RNAcentral.
GAUGAACGCUGGCGGCGUGCCUAACACAUGCAAGUCGAGCGGACCAAUGUUCAUUUCAGCUUUGCUGAUUUGAGCAACGGUUAGCGGCGGACGGGUGAGUAACGCGUGGGCAACCUGCCCUGUGCAGGGGGAUAACACAGCGAAAGCUGUGCUAAUACCCCAUAAGACUACGCUAUCGCAUGAUAGAGUAGUCAAAGCUUUAGCGGCACAGGAUGGGCCCGCGUCUGAUUAGCUAGUUGGUGGGGUAACGGCCUACCAAGGCGACGAUCAGUAGCCGACCUGAGAGGGUGAUCGGCCACACUGGAACUGAGACACGGUCCAGACUCCUACGGGAGGCAGCAGUGGGGAAUAUUGCACAAUGGGGGAAACCCUGAUGCAGCAACGCCGCGUGAGCGAAGAAGGCCUUCGGGUCGUAAAGCUCUGUCCUAAGGGAAGAAGUAUGACGGUACCUUAGGAGGAAGCCCCGGCUAACUACGUGCCAGCAGCCGCGGUAAUACGUAGGGGGCGAGCGUUAUCCGGAAUCACUGGGCGUAAAGGGUGCGUAGGCGGCCGAGUAAGCCAGAGGUGAAAGGCUACGGCUUAACCGUAGUAAGCCUUUGGAACUACUUGGCUUGAGUGCAGGAGAGGAGAGUGGAAUUCCUAGUGUAGCGGUGAAAUGCGUAGAUAUUAGGAGGAACACCAGUGGCGAAGCGACUCUCUGGACUGUAACUGACGCUGAGGCACGAAAGCGUGGGGGAGCAAACAGGAUUAGAUACCCUGGUAGUCCACGCCGUAAACGAUGAGUGCUAGGUGUCGGGGGUUCACACCCUCGGUGCCGGAGUUAACGCAAUAAGCACUCCGCCUGGGGAGUA